This 253-nucleotide ribosomal RNA is filed under the name uncultured bacterium. RNAcentral's name for it is "partial 16S ribosomal RNA". It matches the Rfam family "Bacterial small subunit ribosomal RNA", at positions 524 to 776 of the family's 1533-position model. The record is from RNAcentral.
UACGUAGGGUGCAAGCGUUGUCCGGAAUUAUUGGGCGUAAAGAGCUCGUAGGCGGCUCGUCGCGUCGACCGUGAAAACCCGCGGCUUAACUGCGGGCUUGCGGUUGAUACGGGCGGGCUAGAGUUCGGUAGGGGAGACUGGAAUUCCUGGUGUAGCGGUGAAAUGCGCAGAUAUCAGGAGGAACACCGGUGGCGAAGGCGGGUCUCUGGGCCGAUACUGACGCUGAGGAGCGAAAGCGUGGGGAGCGAACAGG